This 380-nucleotide ribosomal RNA is filed under the name uncultured archaeon. RNAcentral describes it as "bacterial SSU rRNA". It matches the Rfam family "Archaeal small subunit ribosomal RNA", at positions 471 to 851 of the family's 1478-position model. The record is from RNAcentral.
UAAAACCAGCUCUUCGAGUGGUGUCCAUGAUUAUUGGGCUUAAAGCGUCCGUAGCCGGCCUGGCAAGUCUUCCGUUAAAUCCGGCAACCUAAUUGUUGGGCUGCGGGGGAUACUGUUAGGCUUGGGGGCGGGAGAGGCCGACGGUAUUCUCGGGGUAGGGGUGAAAUCUUAUAAUCCCGAGAGGACCACCAGUGGCGAAGGCUGUCGGCUAGCACGCGCCUGACGGUGAGGGACGAAAGCUGGGGGAGCGAACCGGAUUAGAUACCCGGGUAGUCCCUGCUGUAAACGAUGCGAGCUAGGUGUUGGGGCGGCUACGAGCCGCUUCAGUGCCGCAGCGAAGGCGUUAAGCUCGCCGCCUGGGGAGUACGGCCGCAAGGCUG